Bos taurus (domestic cattle) is the source of this 2029-nucleotide long non-coding RNA. Lineage: Eukaryota; Metazoa; Chordata; Mammalia; Artiodactyla; Bovidae. The record is from Ensembl.
AGAACACAUGGAAAGGGGACCCUUGUACUCCCAGCUUUGGGGCAGGAAGAAGUAGGGGAAGGAAUUGAAAAUAACUCCUGCUGUGAAGACAGCACUCCUGGAUUUCUCAUGAUCCUCCAUCCCCCAAAGCUGCUAUUAACAGGAACUGGAGCAAUUCUUUUUCUAAAUGUUAAAUGUGUCUCCCCACAUAAAAGAAAGGAACUGUGUGAUAUAUUGUGGCACCAAACUUAGUAUCAAGUCCAGGCUGAGAAUCACGGGAACAUAAUUUGGAGGCAGAACUCUGCUUUCCCACCACUGUAUUCUUUUGGGGGAACUCCGAAGAAUUCCUAGAAAAAAAUGCUCUCAAGUAAAACAUGGUAAAAAAUCUGCCUGCAACGCAGAAGACCCGGCUUCCAUCCCUGAGUUGGGAUGUCUCCUCCCCGGCACUUCGUCACACAUAUAUGAAGGCUGGGAAAGCCCAAGAUCAAGACGACAACUGAUCUGACAUGUGUGCGGCGGCGGCGGAAGGCGCGACGGCAGAGGAAAACUUCUCGCUGCGGUGAGCGCUCAACCAGACUGCGCUGCGCCGCGCCGAGCCGGGGCCGCCGCUCCGGCCGCGGGAGCCUGACGUCUCCCCACUUCGUAUUGAUUUGGAGGAACUUGAGUGAGAGAGAAUCGUGUUUAUAAUGAUAUGAACACCUCUUUUUCCCUUUGGAGGGGACUUAGGAUGUGACUAUAUAAAACAAAACCCACUUUUGUCAUGUGUGCGUGACAGCUCCAACUGAGAAUCUUGCAAACUUUAUACACAAAACAAAGCCAUCACUGAUGUUACUGCCAGGAUGCAGGAGCUACUGGCCAGAGAUCCCCACUAAGAACUCACUCCCACAUUUCCAGAUGAGUGCUACGAGAUGAGGUUCUUAAACUAAGACUCCUAAUUUGGUGCCCUGCUAAAAGGAAAAACCAAGGCAACCAAAAAUAGACAUACACUGACUCCUUAUACAGUUGAGAAUUUUGACAGAAUAACAUGCAGAGGAGUGGAGAAUUCAAGGUGGGUAGGAAGACUGGGGGAGAAGACGAUGGCACCCCACUCCAGUACUUUUGCCUGGAAAAUCCCAUGGACGGAGGAGCCUGAUAGGCUCCAGUCCAUGGGGUCGCUAAGAGUCUGGCAUGGCUGAGUGACUUAACUUUCACUUUUCCCUUUCAUGCAUUGGAGAAGGAAAUGGCAACCCACUCCAGUGUUCUUGCCUGGAGAAUCCCAGGGACAGAGGAGCCUAGUGGGCUGCUGUCUAUGGGGUCGCACAGAGUCGGACACGACUGCAGUGACUUAGCAGCAGCAGCAGGAAGACUGGGAUCACAAACGAAUGCAACACACCUUGGCAAAAAUAAAACCCAUCUAAAAAGAACAGGCCAAAUAAAAUUAAAAAGUAAAUAAUUAAAAUAAAAAGAACAGGCCUUGGGACUUCCCCGGUGCUCCAGUGGUUAAGAAUCCACCUUGCAACGCAGGGGUUUGAUCCCUGGUUGGGGAACUAAGAUCCUGUAAGACACAGAGCAAUUUAGCCCAUGUACCACAACUGCUGAGCCUGUGCACCACAAUGAAAGAUCCUGCAUGUAGAAACUAAGACCCAGCAUGGUCAAAUAAAUAAAAUAGAUUAAUUUAAAAAAGAACAGGCCUGGUUUGCCUUCUCUUGCUUAGUAGAAUACACAGUUCUGGUCAUAAGAACUCUCCCAUAGAUAGAUGAGAUAAAUGUGGAGAUUAUCCUGCAUAAUCUGGAUGGCUCAUUGUUACCACAAGGUACUUACAAGGGAAAGAAGAAAGCAGGAGAGUCAGAGAAGACAUGACAUCAGAGGCAGAGCUGGGGAGAUGCAUCCUAAGGAAGGCUUCCCUAAUCAUUGCUGGUUUUGAAGAUGACGGGAGGUACCAUGAGUGAAGGGAGGCUGCAGCCCCCAAAAGAUGAGAAAGGCAAGAGAACAGUCUUUUCUGGAGCCUCCAGAAGGAAUCAGCCCUGUCCAUACCUUGAUUUUAGCCCAUGAGACCCACUGUCAGAUCACC